AUGCUGACGACGAUGAGGAGACAGAUGCGGAUGAAUCAGAGGAGGAGGACAAGGAUGAGGAUGACAAUGAAGAAGAUGCAGAGGAGGAGGAGGAUGAGGAGGAAGAGGAGGAGGAGGAGGAGGACAAAUAAGAAGAGGACAAAGGAGAGGAGGAGAACAAGGAAGAAGAUAGUGAUGCAGAGGAGGAGGAAGAAGAAGGUGAGGCCAGAGAGGGGGACGGGGACAAAGGGGCAGCAGUUGAUGGCAGUGAGAGGGGAGAAGACAAAGGCGCAGCAGCUGAUGGCAGUGAGAGGGAAGAAGACGAGGAUGAAGAAGACGAGGAUGAUUAUGGUGAUGAUAAAGGGGGAUCCGAUGGAGGCAGCGACAGCAGCGAUGACGAUGAUGAUGACAACGCUCCUGGUUCUGGUGGUACAGGUGGCAACACAUCCAGGAGGACUAGCACUCACGCCACCCCUGCGAGCAGCAGCAAUUCAUUGA
This 477-nucleotide ribosomal RNA is filed under the name Triticum aestivum (bread wheat). Its description in RNAcentral is "partial small subunit ribosomal RNA". Lineage: Eukaryota; Viridiplantae; Streptophyta; Magnoliopsida; Poales; Poaceae. The record is from RNAcentral.